RNAcentral lists this unclassified non-coding RNA (2693 nucleotides) under Leishmania donovani. RNAcentral describes it as "gene:LdHU3.34.2340(CDS-product:tyrosine_phosphata se_isoform_putative)". Lineage: Eukaryota; Euglenozoa; Kinetoplastea; Trypanosomatida; Trypanosomatidae. The record is from RNAcentral.
AAAAGGAAAAAGAGAACGGCAACGAAGCAAAGGGUCCACCUCACUCCCCCCCCACACACACACACCACUACCACCACUACCCUACCCACUCUCUCAGCAAGAGUCACGUCUGCGAAGAUACAUUCGCCCGCCUCCAAGGAAGCGGCCGUGACGCAGCCGCAGUCUCUUGCGACGCCCCAUCUUUGUAUGCCGUCAAGCCGUACAGCGCUCGCUGUAGCACAGGGCGAUGAACUCCGAGCUCGUGGACAUGACACCGCAGGUGCCCACCACAUUGUGCGAGAAGGUGGAGCACUACCUUCGCGACCGCACACGGUACCUUCAUGUGCAGAAUGAAAUCCCGCAAGAGGUGACGAAUGAGCUUGCCAUGGUGAACAACUACUACGUGUCCGUUGCCAACCCGCAGGACAUGCGUUUCACAAACCCAGGUGAAACAACUGUCGACUACGUUUGCCGAAUAGUGUACAACUUUUUCCUUAGUCUGUACGUGCAGGCGGCGCUGCUCGUGCCCACCUUGUUAUUUCUUCUUUUCAUAGCGGUUCGCACACACCACUCGCCGAUGUUUCUACUCGUCUACAGUACCGUGAUCGACAUUGAGGUGCUCUCGAUGUGGGCCUACGAACGGGGCGCGCGCUUCGCCGCGAGGUUCUGGUGGGAACUCGCGUGGCUGAUCGUGGGGCUUAUCGUGACGAGCAUCCACGCGCUUUCCCCGGCAAACGUCUUGUGUGUGCUGCUGCUCGUAGUGCAUUGGAUGUUCAUGGCACGCAUCACCGUCAUUCAGGUCUCCCGGGCACUGCGUGUGUUUUGCGCCUCCGAACGUCGCUGCUACAUUGCCGAGGGCGUUGUCCUAGACAUGGCAUACAUAACCCGCAACGUGAUUGCGAUGGGGUGGCCGGCGAGAGGAACGGAGGCUUUGUACCGAAAUCCGUGGAAUGAGGUGGUGCACUUUCUCCGCCGCAAGUACGCGCGCCUCUCCUCGCACGUCAUCACGCUCUGCUCGGAACGCUGCACCGCGCCGUUCCCGCGCCAGUCUACCUACCCUGUGGAUGACCACAACCCAGCGGAGGUGCCUCUCAUGAUUUCCUUUUGCUGCGAAGUUGCUGACUACGUCAUGGCCGACCCGUACAGGCGGGCUGUCGCGGUGCACUGUAAGGGUGGUAAAGGACGCACUGGCACGAUGAUCUGCGCGUACCUCAUGUACUGUGGCCAAUGCCGCAGCGCCGACGCUGCCAUGCGCCACUUCAGUCUUCUACGCAGCCGCAUCGGCGCGCAGAAGCUGCAAGGCGUGCAGACCCCCUCACAGGAGCGCUACGUUCGCUACUUUGAGCGCCUCAUCAACGAACAGCCUGGAAUGAUAAUCCCGUCUCACCCGCGUCGCGUUCGCCGACUCGUGCUGCACAACGUCCCGCCGCUUUGGGUGCGGCGCGGAGUGGAGCACUUGUGGAUGACCGUCAUCGUGAAGCCGUGUACCGAGAGGCGCGUCGUAUACCUCACCAACCGCACCGUCACCUUCAACGCCGCAGUUCCGGACUCGCGCACGUAUAACUGGCGCACCCAAAUCAAAGACCUUUUCCACAAUGACGAGGAGGUGGUAUACCAGGAGGCCAACGAGAUGGACGCGACGGAGAGCGGAUGCACUGGAUACCUGCCAGACGCGCGGUCUUUUCGCGUUAUGGGAGCAGCCGGGGCUACGCUGGAGCUGGCCUUCCCGGAUGAGAUCCCGGCCGUGGAUGGCGACGUCUGCUUCAAGUUCUUCUACUACAAGAACAACCCGAACCCACUGCGGCCGCCCGUGCAGUUCUGGAUUCACACCGGAUUGGAGACACACUCGACGAUUCGGCUCGAGCGCCGAGAUUUGGAUGGGGCGUUCAAGGAUACGAGAGGUGACCGCUACCCCGCCGAGUUUGCGGUGGAGUUGGUGCUCGAGGAUGCGCCAGGGGGGUACACGGCACGCGAAUGAUGGCGCCGCUGGUGAUGAACCACUGCGCCCACCAAUGUAGGCGUGCGUUGGUCUGCGCCGCAACGCAUGCGCCUCUCCCUUGGGCCGCCCCCUGACCUCCGCUUGAAGCGUAGGUCGCAGCUGGUGCACAGGUCUUCGGUGCGACUUUCCUAGGUCCUUCACUCCUCCUCUCUCGUUUGUAUGAGUAGGUGGCUCGCUCACAGGCUUACAUAGCUGUGUGUCACGUCUCCGUGAGAUCUUCGUGUCGAAACUGAGAGGAGAUGUGCUUGGUAUCUCUGCUCGUCCACCUUCUGUGCGCUGAUGCGGUUGCACGCUUGUGUUUGAGGCGGGUAGAGCGAGAGGAGAAAGGGAUGCGCUGAAAGCAGCAGCGCCGGCGCGGUGUAUCCUCACGAAAAAGGAACGAGGAAAGGUCAAGAAAGCUGGUGAAGGACGUGGAGCUUGGCGCACCCACCCUUUUCCGGAACCGCCUCCCACCGGGGUCCCUCGUACCGCGCUCAUCAGCCUUGACGUUUUUUUUUCUCUAUGAGGCCUACCGGUGCAAGCUCCUCGCCCCGAGCAAAAGGCGCGCAACUCUACGGUGCCUCUCGCUCGCCUGCGUACGCGACCCUAGCAGUGCCCCUGCCUAGGCCUUUGCUUGUCCUUCGCUGAACUCAAACGAUGAUGGACAAGCAUACUCCCCUCCCCUCUCCUCCUGUCAUUGUUUCGCGUCACUCCCGCCAUUUGGCAACACAUGCAC